CAAGUAUUUCUUCCGUCUGAUUUUACUUGUCAGAGAAAUGAAUGUAUAAAGACAUACUUUAGUUUUACAUACAUCCAUUUUUGUUAAUUUUGUAACAAGUAAUUUCGAACGGAGGGAAUAUAUU
This 124-nucleotide microRNA precursor is filed under the name Hordeum vulgare. RNAcentral's name for it is "microRNA MIR1122". It matches the Rfam family "MIR1120/MIR1122 microRNA precursor family". Lineage: Eukaryota; Viridiplantae; Streptophyta; Magnoliopsida; Poales; Poaceae. The record is from RNAcentral.